UACGUAGGGUGCAAGCGUUAAUCGGAAUUACUGGGCGUAAAGCGUGCGCAGGCGGUUUUGUAAGUCUGACGUGAAAUCCCCGGGCUCAACCUGGGAAUUGCGUUGGAGACUGCAAGGCUAGAAUCUGGCAGAGGGGGGUAGAAUUCCACGUGUAGCAGUGAAAUGCGUAGAGAUGUGGAGGAACACCGAUGGCGAAGGCAGCCCCCUGGGACAAGAUU
This 218-nucleotide ribosomal RNA is filed under the name uncultured bacterium. RNAcentral's name for it is "partial 16S ribosomal RNA". It matches the Rfam family "Bacterial small subunit ribosomal RNA", at positions 524 to 741 of the family's 1533-position model. The record is from RNAcentral.